CUCUCCGUAGCUCAGUUGGCAGAGCAGCUGACUCUUAAUCAGCGGGUCGCGGGUUCGAAUCCCUCCGGGGAGA
Molecule: transfer RNA, 73 nt
Filed under: Bacteroidota bacterium
Lineage: Bacteria; Pseudomonadati; Bacteroidota
Also listed under: 1 other name
Description: Bacteroidetes bacterium (cold seep metagenome) tRNA-Lys
Rfam family: tRNA
About the family: Transfer RNA (tRNA) molecules are approximately 80 nucleotides in length. Their secondary structure includes four short double-helical elements and three loops (D, anti-codon, and T loops).
Source: RNAcentral